AUCCUCAUAUGUGUAGUCCCAUUUGAUUUUUGACAAAGCAGAUAAAAGCGUACACUGGGCUUUUGUAAUGUGGAAAGAGAAAAAAGUUCUCCUCGGAUGUCAGGUUGGCCUUACAGUGGGCUCUCUUUUCUUGAGGAAUUCAACAGGG
Otolemur garnettii (small-eared galago) is the source of this 148-nucleotide small nucleolar RNA. NCBI's taxonomy places the organism in Eukaryota, Metazoa, Chordata, Mammalia, Primates, Galagidae. The record is from Ensembl.